UCGGGCACACAGCCAGCCUCUCGAUGGGCUGGCCAUCUAGCCUGUCCUGGCACAUACGGUCACAUUAGGCCGUCAGUGUUCCAUUGCAGAGGAUACUGCGAGGCACUAGAGCCUCCAGCAGCCCCAUACUCCCAUACCUUCAGCAAGCUCCACUCGGCCAAGCACAGUGAUGGUGUGUUCGUUUCUCGCUCGCCAGCUCGAGCCAUCCUCGCGAGUCCUUUGCCGACGUUCCCUGGGUGCAAUGUCCUUACGAAAGCUGUGAAGCAGCCAGUUACCGUUGCGAGUUGUGAUGUGAUGGUUUGCAAAGUUCCGUUUUUUUUGCGUUUGCGUUUGUUUUGUGCGAACUAACUAAGCUGUGUGUGUGCGUGUGUGUGAAACGAUGGAAGUGAUUUUCGGCUAAACGGCUUUUAAACUCUGCUCUGUGUGGUAAAAUGUGGUGCUUCCUUUCCUUUUUUUGGUUGGUAUAGCGAGAGUGCAUUUAGGUUGCAACAGUUUUUGUUUGUUUCGCUGUUCGGUUCCUGUUAUGUUGUGUUUGCUGCUUGUGUUGGUUGUUUUACGGGUUUUGCUAAUAGUUAAUGGGCGAAAACAAAUUUUUGAGUGAAUUUGUGGAAUGACACUUCAUCACGUUCAACUUUGGAGGCUCAGCGAUCUGUGCGAUCAUCGAGGGAUGAAGCAGACUUUGUUUUGUUAUAUGAGUUUAGUUGGUUUCGGAAGGCUGUGCUGUAGUGAGGACAAAUAAAAGCUAACAGCAACCUUUCACUUCCACAGUCACGUGAGCGUGGCGUAUAUUACUCUACCCAGGUCCUUCCAUCGCAUAUCGUCCAGGACUUGGGAAGUCAGCUGUAAUUUCGGAAAACUCACGUGUAACCGCAUCACGAAACAGGAAGUCGGCACACUGCAUUUAGCUUUGAGUGCAUGUGUGUGUGCGUGAGUGUGUGGGCCUUAAUCCAUCAGAAGCAGCAGUAGCAGCAGGAUCCUGGUUGCAGUUCCGAUGCAGUUUUGCCGGUUUGUGUUGCAGGUAUAAUUGUCACUUAGCCUUCCAUUCCCACUGACUAGAAUAAGGGUUGUCCGUUCGUUUUCGUUUUUUUUUUGCGGGGCGAGGAUCUCGGCUCAACUCCGAAUGCGAAAGUUCUGAUAUAGGCUUUGCAAAGUUACAGUACACCGUUCACCGGACAGGCUGAUGGGAAUUAAGCCGUGCGAUAGAGGCCGCGGAUAAGGGUUGAACAGUUAAUUGCUUCCGAAAAGUUGCCGUUUUUACCCGGUUGUGACAGUGGGCUCGCGGAACCUUUGGAUGUGUCCUUUGGAGCUGCGAACCUGUGAUUGGGAAACCAGCGACACCGUGUGUCGUUCCAUGCCCUACGGCCGAUGGGAGAAAGAUGGAGAUCCAUUGAUAUGUAAAUCGUGUAAAGGGGUUAAAAGCGGACAGCGUAAACGUACCCAGGCUUAAUCGCACCCAUGCAAAUCAGAAACGGGUGCAGGAUUAGAUGCUCAGCCGACCUCUAACGACCUGCAAUUGACUGCACGGCUACAA
Molecule: long non-coding RNA, 1531 nt
Organism: Anopheles stephensi (Asian malaria mosquito)
Lineage: Eukaryota; Metazoa; Arthropoda; Insecta; Diptera; Culicidae
Exons: 3
Source: RefSeq, a predicted model, not a curated record